GGCGAACUAGAGGGUGGUGCUGGGUGCGUCGUACCAUCAGGAGAAGAUCCCCUCCCCCUUGGCCUCUGCUGAAAGCAACAAGGGAACCCCUAAAAGAAGGGCUGAGAAGCCUGCAACAGGGGGACGUGGAUGGGGCUCAACGUCUGGGUCGAGUAGCCAAGCUCUUAAGCAUCGUGGCGCUGGUUGGGGGGGUCCUCAUCAUCAUCGCCUCCUGCGUCAUCAACUUAGGCGUGUAUAAGUGAGGGGCUCUGCCCUGCAUUCCAAGACUUUUCUUCCUGUUGGGAGCUGUCUUGGGUCCAUCCCAAUCCUGGGAGAAUCCCAGUCCAUGGCCCUGGCCCCCACCCCUAGGGACUGAGGGAGCCUGAGCGGGCCUUGUUUACAGCUUCUUCCCUACUCCUGCAUCCUGCCAGGCUCCUCUGCCAGCCGUAGGCUUCCUUUCUCCCUGCACUUUUGCCUGCAGAUCUCCCCUCCUGCCUCUUGACCCCCCUAGUCCUGCACUCUGAAAACCCCUCUGCACUUCUGGACGCCUCCCUGAACAUCUAAAUUGUACUCUGCACCUCCGCAUCCCUCCCAGCCUCCUUGCACUUCUCCCUGCCCCUGGAAUCCUCUGAACCUUAAUUAACCCUGACCUCCCAACUUUCAUUGUCUUGGUAUCUAACCCAUCCCUUUCUUCCCUUCCCUAACAUUCUUUCCCCUUGCCACAUCCCCUGACCCCUUCUCAUCUUUCCCUUAGCGUCUUCACCCUCCUGCCAACACUUAGUCUGCAAAACCUGCAGUACUUAGGUCAGGCUGAGGGAAGAAGGAUGGUGUGGGGAGAGGUCUGCCUAGCUAGGGGCUCUGACUGUUCUCUACUGGGGACCACCCAGGCCCAGAUCAUACCCCCACCCUAACCCCUAAGGUGCCUAUUGGGUCGCAAAGCUGGCAAGCCAGACCUCACCUGGGGUACUUGCACAAGAGUGGGAGUCCUGGUUCUGAACAUUCAGGGGAGGAAGGGGUAUAGCUGUGGCUGAAGAGUCAGCCUAAAUUGACCUGCCCAUUUGGGCUUUUUAACCUCAAGAGUUUCUCGAAGGUCCAUUUAUGUGCUUUGUAAACAGUAGAAUUUUAAAAAAAAUUUAAAAAGGACCAAAGUUCUCAACUGCAGGGAGCAAGGGAAGGGCGCGAGCUCUGUAAUAUUCUCUAAGAGGACGAGGGAGGUUUGUUGCACGCGACAGCCCACUGAGGAGGCAGAGAGCCAGCUGCGAUGCAUUUCGGAGUUGGUCGGUGUUUUUUUUGUUUGUUUGUUUGUUUUCUUUCUUUAAAAAAAGUUGGGGGGAAAACUAAAAUUCCUUUAAAAAAAUAAAACUGAGUCUCCCUUUUUGUAUGCUGAAUGCUGCAUGAGUCUUAAACACUAAUAAACAGAGAAUGCAUGAGACUGGCCUCA
RNAcentral lists this long non-coding RNA (1420 nucleotides) under Rattus norvegicus (Norway rat). Its description in RNAcentral is "long non-coding RNA NONRATT003187". Lineage: Eukaryota; Metazoa; Chordata; Mammalia; Rodentia; Muridae. The record is from RNAcentral.